RNAcentral lists this ribosomal RNA (253 nucleotides) under uncultured bacterium. RNAcentral describes it as "partial 16S ribosomal RNA". It matches the Rfam family "Bacterial small subunit ribosomal RNA", at positions 524 to 776 of the family's 1533-position model. The record is from RNAcentral.
UACGUAGGUGGCAAGCGUUGUCCGGAAUUAUUGGGCGUAAAGCGCGCGCAGGCGGUCCUUUAAGUCUGAUGUGAAAGCCCACGGCUCAACCGUGGAGGGUCAUUGGAAACUGGGGGACUUGAGUACAGAAGAGAAGAGUGGAAUUCCACGUGUAGCGGUGAAAUGCGUAGAGAUGUGGAGGAACACCAGUGGCGAAGGCGGCUAACUGGUCCAGCACUGACGCUGAGGUGCGAAAGCGUGGGGAGCAAACAGG